CUACGGGAGGCAGCAGUCAAGAAUCUUCCUCAAUGGACGAAAGUCUGAAGGAGCAAUGCCGCGUGAUCGAUGAAGCCCCUCGGGGUGUAAAGGUCUUUUAUCAGGGACGAAUUCGUGACGGUACCUGAUGAAUAAGUCACUGCUAACUUCGUGCCAGCAGCAGCGGUAAUACGAAGGUGGCGAGCGUUACCCGGAAUUAUUGGGCGUAAAGCGUCCGCAGACGGUUUGAAAAGUUCUUGGUCAAAUCUUGAGGCUUAACUUCAAGACUGCCAAGAAAACUCUUAGACUAGAGGAUGGGAGAGGCAAGCGGAAUUGCCGGUGUAGUAGUAAAAUGCGUUGAUAUCGGUAGGAACACCAAAAGCGAAGGCAGCUUGCUAGAACAUUCCUGACGUUCAGGGACGAAAGCGUGGGUAGCGAAUGGGAUUAGAUACCCCCGUAGUC
Molecule: ribosomal RNA, 441 nt
Filed under: uncultured bacterium
Lineage: Bacteria
Description: partial 16S ribosomal RNA
Rfam family: Bacterial small subunit ribosomal RNA
Source: RNAcentral